Molecule: ribosomal RNA, 448 nt
Filed under: uncultured bacterium
Lineage: Bacteria
Description: SSU rRNA
Rfam family: Bacterial small subunit ribosomal RNA
Source: RNAcentral
AGAGCGAACGCUGGCGGCAGGCUUAACACAUGCAAGUCGAGCGGGCGUAGCAAUACGUCAGCGGCAGACGGGUGAGUAACGCGUGGGAACAUACCUUUUGGUUCGGAACAACACAGGGAAACCUGUGCUAAUACCGGAUAAGCCCUUACGGGGAAAGAUUUAUCGCCGAAAGAUUGGCCCGCGUCUGAUUAGCUAGUUGGUGAGGUAACGGCUCACCAAGGCGACGAUCAGUAGCUGGUCUGAGAGGAUGAUCAGCCACAUUGGGACUGAGACACGGCCCAAACUCCUACGGGAGGCAGCAGUGGGGAAUAUUGGACAAUGGGCGCAAGCCUGAUCCAGCCAUGCCGCGUGAGUGAUGAAGGCCCUAGGGUUGUAAAGCUCUUUUGUGCGGGAAGAUAAUGACGGUACCGCAAGAAUAAGCCCCGGCUAACUUCGUGCCAGCAGCCGC